RNAcentral lists this ribosomal RNA (774 nucleotides) under uncultured Neocallimastigales. RNAcentral's name for it is "partial large subunit ribosomal RNA". It matches the Rfam family "Eukaryotic large subunit ribosomal RNA", at positions 24 to 645 of the family's 3401-position model. Lineage: Eukaryota; Fungi; Neocallimastigomycota; Neocallimastigomycetes; Neocallimastigales. The record is from RNAcentral.
UAUGUGAUCGUCUCUCGCAUAUCAAUAAGCGGAGGAAAAGAAACUAACAAGGAUUCCCCUAGUAACGGCGAGUGAAGCGGGAAGAGCUCAAAUUUGAAAUCUUAAAGGGUUUCCCUUUACGAAUUGUAGUUUAAAGAAGUGUUUUCUGUUGAGGUUUUGGUAAAAGUUCUUUGGAAUAGGACAUCAUAGAGGGUGAGAAUCCCGUAUUUGACCUUUACUUUCAACUUUGUGAUACACUUUCAAAGAGUCGGAUUGUUUGGGAAUGCAGUCCAAAAUGGGUGGUAAAUUUCAUCUAAAGCUAAAUAUUGGCGAGAGACCGAUAGCGAACAAGUACCGUGAGGGGAAGAUGAAAAGAACUUUGAAAAGAGAGUUAAACAGUACGUGAAAUUGUCAAAAGGGAAGCGUUUGACACCAGUGUUGUUUUUCUGAAAAUCAAUUAAAGAACUGUUUAUGCUAAGCUGUUUAGACUUUAUCAGCUAUCUGUUUAGUUUUGAGCUUUUCUUUAAUGCACUUUUCAGUUAACAAGUCAACAUCAAUUUCUUUUGCUGUAAAAAAGCUUGAGGAAGGUGGCUUGAGAUUCGUCUUAAGUGUUUAUAGCCUCUUGCCUAUGCAGUCGGAGAGAUUGAGGUCUGCAGCGUAGAUCCUUCGGGGCUAAAUGCAUUUGUGCUAAGUUAUAACAUUUUAUAGACAACUUGUUGACCAUGAUUUGUCUUGUAGCUUACUCGCUUAUGUCAUUUUACCUACGCUUAGGAUGUUGAAGUCAUCGUAUCGCGC